Long non-coding RNA from Vidua macroura (Pin-tailed whydah), 384 nucleotides. RefSeq lists it as uncharacterized. The record is from RefSeq and is a predicted model, not a curated record. The transcript has 3 exons. NCBI's taxonomy places the organism in Eukaryota, Metazoa, Chordata, Aves, Passeriformes, Viduidae.
UGGGAGACAGCAGCAGCUCGUGGGCAUCCCGCUCUGGCAGCUGCUGAGGAGAGUGCCAGGAUGUCAUUAAGAGGUGUUUGUCCAUGCAGCCCUUGGACAGGCCGUCCUUAGAAGAGCUUUUCCACGAUCCUUGGGUGCAGGGUGUUCCUCUGCCCUAGAGGAUGGGAGAGAUCCACGUGCACAGUUGGAUCCAGGGGCCUGGCAGGGAAGGAGAAGGAGCCCCUGGAGAAGCUGCACCAGGUGGGGCUGCUGCUGCUGGAGACACCAAGGACAACCUCAAGGAUGACAAUCUCUUCCUCAGCCUGGCCAGCUGAAGAUGAUGGACUUGGAUUCUGGCACCUUCUCCAAAGCCAGGCUCCACAGGGAAUUUGCAGAUGAGUCCAC